AGUGAACGCUGGCGGUAGGCCUAACACAUGCAAGUCGAACGGCAGCACAGAGGAGCUUGCUCCUUGGGUGGCGAGUGGCGGACGGGUGAGGAAUACAUCGGAAUCUACUCUGUCGUGGGGGAUAACGUAGGGAAACUUACGCUAAUACCGCAUACGACCUACGGGUGAAAGCAGGGGAUCUUCGGACCUUGCGCGAUUGAAUGAGCCGAUGUCGGAUUAGCUAGUUGGCGGGGUAAAGGCCCACCAAGGCGACGAUCCGUAGCUGGUCUGAGGGGAAGAUCAGCAACACUGGAACUGAGACACGGUCCAGACUCCUACGGGAGGCAGCAGUGGGGAAUAUUGGACAAUGGGCGCAAGCCUGAGCCAGCCAUACCGCGUGGGUGAAGAAGGCCUUCGGGUUGUAAAGCCCUUUUGUUGGGAAAGAAAUCCAUCUGGUUAAUACCCGGGUGGGAUGACGGUACCCAAAGAAUAAGCACCGGCUAACUUCGUGCCAGCCGCCGCCGUAA
RNAcentral lists this ribosomal RNA (506 nucleotides) under uncultured bacterium. RNAcentral's name for it is "partial 16S ribosomal RNA". It matches the Rfam family "Bacterial small subunit ribosomal RNA", at positions 29 to 523 of the family's 1533-position model. The record is from RNAcentral.